AUUGAACGCUGGCGGAAUGCUUUACACAUGCAAGUCGAGCGGCAGCGCGGGGGCAACCCUGGCGGCGAGCGGCGAACGGGUGAGUAACAUAUCGGAACGUACCCCGUCGUGGGGGAUAACACAGCGAAAGCUGUGCUAAUACCGCAUACGACCUGAGGGUGAAAGCGGGGGAUCGCAAGACCUCGCGCGAUGGGAGCGGCCGAUAUCGGAUUAGCUUGUUGGUGAGGUAAAGGCUCACCAAGGCGACGAUCCGUAGCUGGUCUGAGAGGACGACCAGCCACACUGGAACUGAGACACGGUCCAGACUCCUACGGGAGGCAGCAGUGGGGAAUUUUGGACAAUGGGGGCAACCCUGAUCCAGCCAUUCCGCGUGAGUGAAGAAGGCCUUCGGUUGUAAGACGUCUUCUAGCAGGAACG
Molecule: ribosomal RNA, 417 nt
Filed under: uncultured bacterium
Lineage: Bacteria
Description: bacterial SSU rRNA
Rfam family: Bacterial small subunit ribosomal RNA
Source: RNAcentral